GAAGGCACAACAAUUAUUCUAUUGAACCGGGAGUUAAGAUUGCCACCUGGCCAUUUUGGAUUCCUUAUGCUUCUGAAUCAACAGGGAAAAAAAUGGAAUUACUGCACUGGCUGGGGUGAUUGAUUCUGACUACCAAGGAAAAAUUGAAUGGCUACUCCACAAUGGAGCCCCGUGGAAGCAAAGUCCCCAUUGGAUGCCAGCUCACCCCGACUUAUCCUGGAGUUUUCUGUCCUGAGUUUUCCAACUUCUGCAUGCAAUUUUCUCUCCCACGCCAGCAAGUUGACACAUUCAACUGAACUUUGCUGAGUUCCCGUUCAUGCUGGAGACAUAACAGCAAGCAUCUUUCCCCUCAGGCUGCUCCUUGCUGGGAUGGUUGAGGAAGGGCAAACGAGGAAAUACACCUGCACAAUAAG
This 413-nucleotide long non-coding RNA is filed under the name Homo sapiens (human). RNAcentral describes it as "HSALNT0305783". The record is from RNAcentral. Lineage: Eukaryota; Metazoa; Chordata; Mammalia; Primates; Hominidae.